RNAcentral lists this small nuclear RNA (109 nucleotides) under Astyanax mexicanus (Mexican tetra). The record is from RNAcentral. Lineage: Eukaryota; Metazoa; Chordata; Actinopteri; Characiformes; Acestrorhamphidae.
AGAGAAUCACAUUUGUCUAAUUAUUAAAAUUGGAACGAUACAGAGAAGAUUAGCAUGGCCUCCUGUGCGCAAGGACAACACGCAAAAUUGUGAAGCGCCAAUACUAAUU